RNAcentral lists this long non-coding RNA (44410 nucleotides) under Triticum aestivum (bread wheat). Its description in RNAcentral is "long non-coding RNA (TAES_LNC015298)". The stretch from base 34818 to 34952 matches the Rfam family "MIR1120/MIR1122 microRNA precursor family". The record is from RNAcentral. Lineage: Eukaryota; Viridiplantae; Streptophyta; Magnoliopsida; Poales; Poaceae.
AUGCCAAAUCUGAAGUUAUGAUCUUUGAUAGCAAAAACGACCACAGGACCAACACAACACAGGUCAUCAAAUAUCAAGAGGACUGAGGUCAACUUAUUCAUAACAUAGACCAAGCAUCUGCUCAAAGGCAGCACCAGAUGUUCUCACAAAUUGCACACGGAUAAAGAGGUGCAGAAACGACACAUGACACAAACUUCACGUAACAAAAGAAGACGUUGACGAAAGAAGAGGCCACCAGGCUCAACAGACAUGCGAACCAAAUUUUCAGGAGCCCAAAGAAAUUCGCUGUCCACCACGAAGACGGAGCACCAAGUGGAGUGUAGACUCCUUCUGAAUGUUGUAAUCAGCAAGGGUGCGUCCGUCAUCGAGCUGUCCUUCCCUGUCUUGGGUAUUCGCCUUCACGUUGUCAAUGGUGUCCGACGAUUCCGCCUCCAAGGUGAUGGUCCUCAAGUUGCUUGCGGGCAAAUAUCAACCACUGCUGGUCUGGCAGGAUGCACUCCUUGUCCCUGAUCUUCGCUUUGACAUUGUCAAUCGUGUCAAAAGACUCAACCUCAAGGGUGAUUGUCUUGCUGGUGAGGGUCUUCAUGAAGAUUUGCAUAAGCCUCAGCACAAGGUAGAGUGUCGACUCCUUCUGGAUGUUAUAUUCGGCCAGGGUCCGGCCAUCUUCCAGUUGCUUGCCAACAAAGAUGAGGCCCUGCUGGUCCGGCGGGACACCCUCCUUAUCCUGGAUCUUCGCCUUGCAUUAUCAAUUGUGUCGGAGAACAGAUCAAACAUGAUGAUCUUGCCAGUGAGUGUCAUCACAAAGAAAUGCAUAUCAGCCCUGAGCCUGAGCACCAGGUGGAGGGUGGACUCCUUCUGUAUAUUGUAAUCACCAAGUGUCCGACCAUCCUCAAGCUGCUUGCGAGCAAAAAUGAGGCGCUGCCGGUCCACCGGGAUACCCUCCUUAUCCUGGAAUAUCGCCUUCACAUUGUCGACUGUGUCAGAGGACUCGACCUCAAGCGUGAUGAUCUUGCUGGUGAGUGUCUUCACGAAGAUCUGCAUCUGCAUAAGUGGGAAUUACAACAAAGCAGGAUAAGUCACCAAGGAAGAGGCUUACAUGAAUAGUUAAACCGAUUAGCAAAGCCACGAGACAAAGGGCACUAAUGUAAAUGAUGUGAUAUGUAUGCAUAACUGAAAAUUGCAAACGGAGCAUUUUAGUUCAAGGGAGUAACAGAUAGUAAAUCCGCAGUUCAGAAUUAACAAAAAAACAAAUAACAACCGCAUAGCAAAAGUGAAAAGGCAAUAAUCUCUGUUAGGAUCUAUUUCCAGUAUAAAUUAAGCAGAUCUUUGCAAGAAGGGUCCAUUAUAAAGCCAGAUCGUGGAUUAAUAUCUGAUGCCGCAAUAAACAGCAGGCCCAGAACUAACCGGCCCAAAUCUAUUGAGCAGCCCUAGAUCAAGAUGGCAAUGGGGCCCCGAAACCCUCGUCCCCGCGGGUUUUUACCUUAUUAGGGGACGGGGAUGGAUGUAUUUUCAUCCUUGUGGGGCUAUAGUUGGACAUAUUAUACAACCCGACAUAUUUCGUGGGUUUGCACCCGUUUCGGCAGUCCCCGAACCCGAAACCCGGCAAACCCGGCAAAAUACAUUUUUUUUAUCAAGCACUGAUCCGGUGCGGCCCAAACCAAAGCUAUCGAGCCUGAGCGACUGAGCCCCCACCCCCCAACGUUCGAAGGCCAAACCAAGAAUUCUAUUUUAAAACUUAUGUAAUUGCACAUCUUGUUGAACCAUGUGUGGCUUAUCAUCUUUCUUGCUGAAAUCUGAUCAUUUUUGUUGCUGAAAUGUGGUAUCAUGCUGCUGAAAUACACUCUAUAUAGCUGUUGAACCAUGUACUAUUGUUUUUUGUUGAAAUUUGCUCAAGUUAUGAUGCUGAAAUGUGCUUGUUUUGCUGCUGAAAUGUUAUUUUUUGUCGCCACUAUGUUUGUUUAAAUAUUUUGAUUUUCUUGUGGGUUCCCCGUGGGUUCCCCGAAACCCGAUGGGUUAAGAGGACGGGCAGAAAACUAACCCCGCGCAUGACGAUAGGGAUGCGGACGGGUUUACGAUUUUCUCGUAAGGAUGGGUUUGGGAAGGCAAAAGCCGAUGGGUUUCGUCCCCGUUGCCAUCUUGAGCCCUAGAUGAGCCCCCACAGGCAUUUGAUUGAAAUCUACACGAGUAUGAUUGAUCGAGAUGCACUCGCUCGUCCUCAACAAAAACUCGAUUAUCUUUCAAUCAAUCUAUCAGCAUAGAAACAAAAUCUUAGGUCGACACGGUAGAGCGAUCGACACGAAUCUCAUUAUCUAAUCGCGUUGGCCGCAUCAAGAAAAACACCUAAAUCAAUCUCACAACAUGAACGAACAGGGAAUCGGUGGCGCGCGCAUACCUUGACGGACGGGACGGGUCGCGCGAGCUAAUAAUUAAAGAUCGAUCGCUGUGUUGCGGCGGCGGAUUUUCUCGAUCGGAAUCAGCGGGCGAGUGGAUUGGCUGCAAGGGGGUCGAUGCCUGUGGGGAAUUUAUACAUGGGAUGGGAGAAAGGAUACACCUGAACGUACCGGCAGGAGAGGCGGUUGCGGAGUCCGUCCCUACCACGACCACGAAGCAGUCUCGACGAAGUCUCCAACGAGAGAACUGCAGCUGCGAGGUGGUCUUUAUCGAUCCAUGCUGGCCAAUUAGGCCCAGACAUAAAGCCCAACCUAAGCACUGUGCAUGUGUAACCUGCAUCGCAGAACAGGAGGAACAGAGAGAAGCGCGUCAUCGACUCAUCGUGAGAAGCUCUCUUGCGUAAGCGGGGUGAAAUUUCAGAAGACUGCACGAACAACAUCUCAUCUCAUGGUCACAACGUACUACAAAGUGCAGGACUUCGUGAGCAAACUAGAUAAACCAGAGCGGGAACAGAGUGGGAAGUAUCAUCCUCUUAUUGUUGAAUCUCCACCGACAGAUGACAUGGACGUACGCAUUAUAUGCGUGCAGCGUUAUUACGUUCUUACUCCGUUCUAGGGACAGAGGAGGUGACCAGAGAGCGCGACGGACGCAGCUAGGACGAACGCCGGCCGCCGGCUUCAUUGGAGCUUGCGUCUGCCGGCGGCGGCGUAGGCGUCGUUGGCCCACUUGAUCACGAACCACAGCACGUCCACGACGACGUUGCCGUAGCCUCCGGUGCUACCGCGGCCUCUCAGUUCUACGCCGCCGGCGUACGGCGACGGAGCCUCGGCCGGCGGCUGCAGCCACGACGACGCCUCGAGGCCGCGGGACACCCGCUCCUCCUCUGGUAUGACGCGGCCGGCGUGCGCCAGGGCGGCGGCGGCGCAGAGGACGAGCGCGGCGACCAGGACGGCGCGAGCCAUCGGUUUCCCCUCCGACCGGCGCCUGGAAACUGUCGGUGGUCAGUCGAUAGCUCGAGAUCACACUGACUGAGACGGAGACGCGUUCGUAGAUGCACAACGCGACUUGCUCGACCGGUUUAUAUACAUUCGCCUCGACCCGACGAACGGCCGAAACUGCCGAAAGGAUUAAUGCGUGCGUGCGUUCCUGGCUCCGCAUUGAACAGGGGACCGAACGCUCGAAUAAACACGAACCGCAACACUAAAAAGAAACGCUCGAACAAACACAACCACGCAUACAUCGGUUUUGUUUCACUUCCCUUUUUCUCAGAUGAUGAAUACGGUGGCAGCCUCCCUGGUUCCAUUUUCUCACAAUGAAACCAGCGUGAUAUGAUAUUACAGUUCCAGGAUUCCAACCAAAAGCAGCCACCCGGUACUAGGCUGCAUUGGGUGCGGCUACACGUUAAUCGACUGGUUUUUUAGUUAGGCUUAGUCGACUGGUGUGGACCGUUGGAUGAAGAUCGUACGGCGUAUGGACCUUCUUCUUCUUCCCAGACCAUCAAACAUGCCGCCGACCGAACCGCUGACCACCGCUGCCCGUGACCGCCUCACUGACCCCCCACCCCCUCCCCAGAACCAUCCCCCACCAUUGAUCUAGCCGCCGCCCCCAGCCACCCCUCUAGCCCCGCCCGCGUUUGGAUUUUUUUUCUCCGCCGAAGUGCACCACCGACCCCAUCUUAAACCCUGAGAUAGAUAAUGGGGUAGCCCACCGGCGAGCCCCUUCCUUCUCCUUCCUUCUCUCCGGCGAACUCCGACGAACUCUCAAAAAUUGACUUGCCCCAAUUAGAAAAUCAGUCGACUGUCAUUUAGCUAAACUGGGUUGUAUUACACUCAGAAGUCGAAAAAAAGCUAUAAACUGAAAUGGUACACCGUACACAGAUCAACACAUGUACAUUGGUGACAUUUCCAACGGCACACAACCAACAUAGGCAACAAUCUACCUCCCGACCCCCUCCUACUCCUCUGUACCGCCCCACGAGGCUACUAGACGGGCCUCUCUCUCUCUAGCUCUCCCCUCAUCCCGGCCUCCUCCCCCUGUCACCGCCUGGGCGCGCCGCCGGGCAAAGCCCGACUAGUGUGGGUGGCGGCUCCUCGCUCAGUAGUGGCGGCGCGUACUGCUGCUGGCCAACAGGGGCGCAGGGCUGGGCGUGGGGCUCGGCGGCAGGGCGGUUGCGUGUUCUUCCCUGGUGGGGGCGUGGGGCGUGCUAGCAGCAGUCGGGCCUUUAGACCGGGCAGCGCCUGGAUCUAGAUCCCAGCGGCGACAGGUGAUGCGGGCUGCAGAUGGUGCGAGCUGGCGGCUGUGGGUGGAUCCGCUCGUGGGGGCUUGAUCCCAUGGGCUCGGGUGGCUAUGAGCGGCCAGGGGUGGUGCACUGGCCGGUGACACGUCUGCAACGGCUUCAACGGCGGCGGUUGGUGCUUGGCGGUGCGGUGUGGGUGGAGGUAGCCCGUCCCUUCUCCUGGGUUUUGGUUAGCGGGGCUGUUGGGGAUAUAACUAUCAGUUAUGACCCGCCCAAUAGGGGCCGGGUCAGCCCCAAUUGCGGGUCACGAAGGAAGCCCAGUAAACACUCAAGGUGAUAGUUUAUUAAACCUUAUAGAAGGCCUAAAGGCCCGGAGGUGGCCUAAAGCCCAAUAUUGUAAAUCGUCGUAUGUAAGGAAAGACUUGUAAGGAAAGGCAUGUAAAAGAAGUCGCCGAGUCGGACACGUUUUAUGAGACGGCCGGGACUCUGUAAGCCACCAGGCGUCAACCCGUGUAUAUAAGGGGACGACCCGGUGGUGCCUUAGGGCAAGAAACAAGAGAUCGAUAACCAAGCCGGCGAAUUAGCCUCUUGGUGAUCGAAAUCCCAGCAAUACCAACACAACUAGACGUAGGCUUUUACCUUCAUCGUAAGGGGCCGAACUAGUAUAAAACCUCUCGUGUCCUUUGUCCCGAUUAACCCCUUUAAGCUUCCUAGUUGCGAUGGCCCUGCGACUAAGUCCUUCUGCUAGGACAUCUGCCGUGACAAUUCCACGACACUUGGCGCCCACCGUGGGGCCAGCGCACGGUGGAUUUGAGUUCUUGAAGGGCAACUUCAAAGGGCUCAAGGGAUACGUUGUGGGCUGGAUGACCAAGAGUCGUCGCGGCAAGCUCUACAUCGACGACGAAGGCUGGGGCCCCGAGGCCAGCUCAAUCGAGUACGGGUACCGGGUCCCCUUCGGCGGAAUUCAUGUCUUUGUCGGCCGGAUCGGCGAGUCGGGCCCUGAGCCGGACGUCCACACCAACCUCGUCGAAACGGCUCAGCGCGCGAGGACCACCCGUGUUCAAUCUGUCGUGAAGCAUGUUUUCGUAGGCUGCGUCCACAGCGAUGAAUAUUCUGAAGGAUCGGUGGAUGGCGGUGAGACGGCCGUCUGUUCUGACGAUACAUCAUGAACAGGCGAGACAGACUCUUUGUAUCAGCUGCAGGAUGGCAUGCUCGGGGGCUGUUCCGAUGGCAGCAGUAUUCCAGACCCCCUUGAGCCGCCGAAUUGGGCCGGAGUCUUCAUGGCAGGAACACAGCCCGGGCAGAACUCCACAGCAGCAGCGGCGACAACUACCGGGUCGGCCACAGCCGGGUCAGGAGACCCUAUGCGCCCCACGGCUCAGAUUCUAAUGGGCCUCAUGGAUAAACUGACGACUCUGUUGACUGCCGUGGAAGAGCUGGCAGAUAAGGCCCAGCAUGACACAGAGGUGGCACGCGUACGUGAAGAGAUGGUACAAGCUAAAGAAAAUUUAGCAGCAGAGGAGGUCAGGAUGGCAGCGGCGCGGGCGGCUUUGGACGUUCGUGCUCAACAGCUUCAAGCGGAGACUUUCCGGCUCUCGGUGGAUCUGAACGCGUCAAACGAGGUUAUGAGAAGAAGGCAUCAGAAAACUCAGUCACGUCUACCUCUGACGCUCGAUCCUAGGAACUUUUUUCAUACACCCGGGGCUGGGGCAAGCAACCCGCCGGAGGCAAAUCGGAUCACGACGCCCGGGGCACUGGUUCAACCGCGCGCCAUGAAACCACCUCAUGUACAUACCGCUCUGCCUCAUUAUGUACCAACACCGCUGGGUCACUUCUCCAAUCCCUUGGAAAACCUCAUUGCAACGUCGGCUCGUUUGGCGGCUCUCCCGAUGGAAGGCGAAUCGCCGGCGGCAAUCAAAACGCGAAGGGUGAGAGAACUUCUUCAAACAGCUCUGGCACAGCAAGAUGAGUACUCCUAUAGUCGAGACAGGAUCCAUUCAACUCCUUGCCCGAGCCGGAGCCCAAGCUACAGUAGGCAUAUGGACUCAGCUGACAUGUCAAGCAAUGCUCAACGCCGCAACCGGCCGCACAGGCAUGAGCCGAUACAGGCUGGAGCCCUUAACUUGGCGGAUCAGGAGAGGAUCCGACAAGAGGCUGAGCGAGCAGUUCAACUGGCAGCGGAGCAGGCGGCUCAUCAAACUUUUCCGGCUUAUCCAGCAACCUCGGUUGAGGCAGGAGUGGCCACAAGAACCUGAGGUGUCCCUUGCCUGGUGUCGGCCAUACGUAAUGAGCGUUUGCCAAUGGACUUCAAGGGCCUCGUAAGGUGCCUAAUUACACGGCCGACUUGCAGCCUGGGGCUUGGAUUGAGAGUUAUGAGAUGGCUAUGGAGUUGUUGGAGGUCAGCGACGCGGCAAUGGCCAAGUAUUUCACUAUGAUGUUGGAUGGAACAGCUCGUACUUGGUUGAAGGGGUUGCCACCCAAUUUUAUCGGCUCAUGGGCGGAGUUGAAGGCCCGGUUCAUUCAGAACUUCAAAGACACAUGUAAACAACCCAUGUCGAUUGUGGACCUGACUAAUUGUAAACAAGAGGACGGUGAAUCUACAACCCAUUGGGUGCGCCGGGUCAAGGAGAUAAUACAUUCAUCUGAUAAGAUGGAUGCCGGCUCAGCAGUCUUGAUGUUGGAGAAAAAUUGCCGUUUUGAACCUCUGAAGCAGAAAUUGGGGCGCCUCAAGCGUGACUGCAAUGACAUGGGCCAGUUGAUGGCGUCUCUCGUCAAGUAUGUUGAUUCUGAUAGUACCAAAGACCCGGUGUCUGACAAAGAAAAGAUAGGGAAGGGAAAGAAGAACGACAACGGCAAGGGUCACCAGCAUAACCCGGCAAAUCAAGGAGGUAAUAAACGUAAGGCUGAUGAAUUUGUCGCUAACACCAAUGCACAGGGCGGCAAUCAACGGCGCAAGGGCAGGCAACCCCCUCGGUCGGGCGGGUCAGAUCCCACCCUUGAGCAACUAUUGAAUGAACCUUGUCCAAGACACGACACCCGGGAGAAGCCAGGCACCCACCUGUGGAAGGAUUGUACAAUCCUGAAGGCGUUUAAAAGUUCAAAUGCAUUUGAUGGAGGUCACGGCCCAGGCGGCGGUUCAGGUGGGGGCGGUUUCCAUGGCCCGGGCGCCGGUUCAGGUGGAGGAGGAUUUCACGGUCAGGGCCAUCCAGGUAACCAGGGAGGCUAUAAUUCACAACCCGGCCAAGGUAAUCAGCAGCAACAGUCCGGAUAUCAGAGCAACCCAAAACAGUUGAAUAGUGGGCAAUAUCAUGUGUUCACCACUGGCUUAUGUAAGAGGGACCAGAAGCUUCACAAGAGGGCCGUCAAUGCCGUUGAGCCGGCGAUUCCAUGUUACUUACGGUGGUCCGUGUUGGGGAACGUAGUAAUUUCAAAAAAAUUCCUACGCACACGCAAGAUCAUGGUGAUGCAUAGCAACAAGAGGGGACAGUGUUGUCUGCGUACCCUCAUAGACCGGCAACAGAAGCAUUGACACAACAUAGAGGAAGUAGUCGUACGUCUUCCCGAUCCGACCAAUCCAAGUACCGAACGUACGGCACCUCCGAGUUCUGCACACGUUCAACUCGGUGACGUCCCUCGAGCUCCGAUCCAGCAAAACGUUGAGGGAGAGUUUCGUCAGCAUGAUGGCGUGAUGACGGUAAUGAUGUUCUACCGAUGCAGGGCUUCGCCUAAGCACUGCUACGAUAUGACCGAGGUGGAAUAUGGUGGAAGGGGGCACUGCACACGGCUAAGGAACGAUCACGAAGAUCAACUUGUGUGUCAUGGGGUGCCCCCUUGCCCUCGUAUAUAAAGGAGGGAGAGGGGGAGGUGCGGCCGGCCCUAGGGGUGCGCCUGGAGGAGUCCUACUCCCACCGGGAGUAGGACUCCCCCCUCUUGCCUUGUUGGAAAAGGAAGGGGGAAGGGAGAAAGAGGAAAGGGGGGCGCCCCCCCCCUUCCUUGUCCUAUUCUGACUAGGGGGGAGGGGGCGCGCGGCCUGCCCUGGCCGGCCCUCCUCUUCUCCCUUAUGGCCCAUGUAGGCCCAAUAACCCCCCGGGGGGGAUUCCAGUAACCCCCCGGUACUCCGGUAAAAUCCCGAUUUCACCCGGAACGUUUCCGAUAUCCAAAUAUAGGCUUCCAAUAUAUCAAUCUUUAUGUCUAGACCAUUUUGAGACUCCUCGUCAUGUCCGUGAUCACAUCCGGGACUCCGAACAACCUUCGGUACAUCAAAACACAAAAACCCUAAUUACGAUCGUCACCGAACUUUAAGCGUGCGGACCCUACGGGUUCGAGAACUAUGUAGACAUGACCGAGACACGUCUCCGGUCAUUAACAAAUAGCGGAACCUGGAUGCUCAUAUUGGCUCCUACAUAUUCUACGAAGAUCUUUAUCGGUCAGACCACAUAACAACAUAUGUUGUUCCCUUUGUCAUCGGUAUGUUACUUGCCCGAGAUUCGAUUGUCGGUAUCUUAAUACCUAGUUCAAUCUCGUUACCGGCAAGUCUCUUUACUCGUUCCCUAAUACAUCAUCCCGCAACUAACUUAUUAGUUGCAAUGCUUGCAAGGCUUGAGUGAUGUGCAUUACCGAGAGGGCCGAGAGAUACCUCUCCGACAAUCGGAGUGACAAAUCCUAAUCUCGAAAUACGCCAACCCAACAAGUACCUUCGGAGACACCUGUAGAGCACCUUUAUAAUCACCCAGUUACGUUGUGACGUUUGGUGGCACACAAAGUGUUCCUCCGGUAAACGGGAGUUGCAUAAUCUCAUAGUCAUAGGAACAUGUAUAAGUCAUGAAAAAAGCAAUAGCAACAAACUAAACGAUCAAGUGCUAUGCUAACGGAAUGGGUCAAGUCAAUCACAUCAUUCUCCUAAUGAUGUGAUCCCAUUAAUCAAAUGACAACUCAUGUCUAUGGUUAGGAAACAUAACCAUCUUUGAUCAACGAGCUAGUCAAGUAGAGGCAUACUAGUGACACUCUGUUUGUCUAUGUAUUCACACAUGUAUUAUGUUUCCGGUUAAUACAAUUCUAGCAUGAAUAAUAAACAUUUAUCAUGAUAUAAGGAAAUAAAUAAUAACUUUAUUAUUGCCUCUAGGGCAUAUUUUCUUCAGUCUCCCACUUGCACUAGAGUCAAUAAUCUAGAUUACACAGUAAUGAUUCUAACACCCAUGGAGCCUUGGUGCUGAUCAUGUUUUGCUCGUGGAAGAGGCUUAGUCAGCGGGUCUGCAACAUUCAGAUCCGUAUGUAUCUUGCAAAUUUCUAUGUCUCCCACUUGGACUAAAUCCCGAAUGGAAUUGAAGCGUCUCUUGAUGUGCUUGGUUCUCUUGUGAAAUCUGGAUUCUUUCGCCAAGGCAAUUGCACCAGUAUUGUCACAAAAGAUUUUCAUUGGACCCGAUGCACUAGGUAUGACACCUAGAUCGGAUAUGAACUCCUUCAUCCAGACUCCUUCAUUUGCUGCUUCCGAAGCAGCUAUGUACUCCUCUUCACAUGUAGAUACCGCCACGACGCUUUGUUUAGAACUGCACCAACUGACAGCUCCACCGUUCAGUAUACACACGUAUCCGGUUUGCGAUUUAGAAUCGUCCGGAUCAGUGUCAAAGCUUGCAUCAACGUAACCAUUUACGAUGAGCACUUUGUCACCUCCAUAUACGAGAAACAUUUCCUUAGUCCUUUUCAGGUAUUUCAGGAUGUUCUUGACCGCUGUCCAGUGAUCCACUCCUGGAGUACUUUGGUACCUCCCUGCUAGACUUAUAGCAAGGCACACAUCAGGUCUGGUACACAGCAUUGCAUACAUGAUAGAGCCUAUGGCUGAAGCAUAGGGAACAUCUUUCAUUUUCUCUCUAUCUUCUGCGGUGGUGGGACAUUGAGUCUUACUCACCUUCACACCUUGUAACACAGGAAAGAACCCUUUCUUUGCUUGAUCCAUUUUAAACUUCUUCAAAACUUUGUCAAGGUAUGUGCUUUGUGAAAGUCCAAUUAAGCGUCUUGAUCUAUCUCUAUAGAUCUUAAUGCCCAAUAUGUAAGCAGCUUCACCGAGGUCUUUCAUUGAAAAACUCUUAUUCAAGUAUCCCUUUAUGCUAUCUAGAAAUUCUAUAUCAUUUCUAAUCAAUAAUAUGUCAUCCACAUAUAAUAUUAGAAAUGCUACAGAGCUCCCACUCACUUUUUUGUAAAUACACGCUUCUCCAAAAGUCUGUACAAAACCAAAUGCUUUGAUCACACUAUCAAAGCGUUUAUUCCAACUCCGAGAGGCUUGCACCAGUCCAUAAAUGGAUCGCUGGAGCUUGCACACUUUGUUAGCUCCCUUUGGAUUGACAAAACCUUCUGGUUGCAUCAUAUACAACUCUUCUUCCAGAAAUCCAUUCAGGAAUGCAUUUUUUACAUCCAUUUGCCAAAUUUCAGAAUCAUAAAAUGCGGCAAUUGCUAACAUGAUUCGGACAGACUUAAGCAUCGCUACAGGUGAGAAGGUCUCAUCGUCGUCAAUCCCUUGAACUUGUCGAAAACCUUUCGCAACAAGUCGAGCUUUGUAGACAGUAACAUUACCGUUAGCGUCGGUCUUCUUCUUGAAGAUCCAUUUAUUCUCAAUUGCUUGCCGAUCAUUGGGCAAGUCAACCAAAGUCCACACUUUGUUCUCAUACAUGGACCCCAUCUCAGAUUUCAUGGCUUCUAGCCACUUUGCGGAAUCUGGGCUCACCAUCGCUUCUUCAUAGUUCGUAGGUUCAUCAUGAUCUAGUAGCAUGACUUCCAGAACAGGAUUACCGUACCACUCUGGUGCGGAUCUUACUCUGGUUGAUCUACGAGGUUCGGUAGUAACUUGAUCUAAAGUUUCAUGAUCAUUAUCAUUAGCUUCCUCACUAAUUGGUGUAGGUGUCACAGAAACCGGUUUCUGUGAUGUACUACUUUCCAAUAAGGGAGCAGGUACAGUUACCUCAUCAAGUUCUACUUUUCUCCCACUCACUUCUUUCGAGAGAAACUCCUUCUCUAGAAAGGAUCCAUUCUUAGCAACGAAAGUCUUGCCUUCGGAUCUGUGAUAGAAGGUGUACCCAACAGUUUCCUUUGGGUAUCAUAUGAAGACACAUUUCUCCGAUUUGGGUUCGAGCUUAUCAGGUUGAAGCUUUUUCACAUAAGCAUCGCAACCCCAAACUUUCUGAAACGACAACUUUGGUUUCUUGCCAAACCACAGUUCAUAAGGUGUCGUCUCAACGGAUUUCGAUGGUGCCCUAUUUAACGUGAAUGCAGCCGUCUCUAAAGCAUAACCCCAAAAUGACGGCGGUAAAUCUGUAAGUGACAUCAUAGAUCGCACCAUAUCUAGUAAAGUACGAUUUCGACGUUUCGACACACCAUUACGCUGUGGUGUUCUGGUGGCGUUAGUUACAAAACUAUUCCGCAUUGUUUCAAAUGUAGACCAAACUCGUAACUCAAAUAUUCUCCUCCACGAUCAGAUCAUAGAAACUUUAUUUUCUUGUUACGAUGAUUUUCAACUUCACUCUGAAAUUCUUUGAACUUUUCAAAUGUUUCAGACUUUUGUUUCAUUAAGUAGAUAUACCCAUAUCUGCUUAAAUCAUCUGUGAAGGUGAGAAAAUAACGAUAUCCGCCACGAGCUUCAAUAUUCAUCGGACCACAUACAUCUGUAUGUAUGAUUUCCAACAAAUCUGUUGCUCUCUCCAUAGUACCGGAGAACAGCGUUUUAGUCAUCUUCCCCAUCAGGCACGGUUCGCAAGUACCAAGUGAUUCAUAAUCAAGUGAUUCCAAAAGUCCAUCAGUAUGGAGUUUCUUCAUGCGCUUUACACCGAUAUGAACUAAACGGCAGUGCCACAAAUAAGUUGCACUAUGAUUAUCAACUCUGCAUCUUUUGGCUUCAACAUUAUGAAUAUGUGUAUCACUACUAUCAAGAUUCAUCAAAAAUAGACCACUCUUCAAGGGUGCAUGACCAUAAAAGAUAUUACUUAUAUAAAUAGAACAACCAUUAUUCUCUGAUUUAAAUGAAUAACCGUCUCGCAUCAAACAAGAUCCAGAUAUAAUGUUUAUGCUCAAUGCUGGCACCAAAUAACAAUUAUUUAGGUCUAAAACUAAUCCCGAAGGUAGAUGUAGAGGUAGCGUGUCGACCGCGAUCACAUCGACUUUGGAACCAGUUCUCACGCGCAUCGUCACCUCGUCCUUUGCCAGUGUUCGCUUAAUCCGUAGUCCCUGUUUUGAGUUGCAAAUGUUAGCAACAGAACCAGUAUCAAAUACCCAGGUGCUACUGCGAGCUCUAGUAAGGUACACAUCAAUAACAUGUAUAUCACAUAUACCUUUGUUCACCUUGCCAUCCUUCUUAUCCGCCAAAUACUUGGGGCAGUUCCGCUUCCAGUGUCCAGUCUGCUUGCAGUAGAAGCACUCAGUUUCAGGCUUAGGUCCACAUUUGGAUUUCUGAGCAGUAACUUGCUUACUGUUCUUCUUGAAGUUCCCCUUCUUCUUCUUCCCUUUGCCCUUUUUCUUGAAACUGGCGGUCUUGUUGACUAUCAACACUUGAUGCUCCUUCUUGAUUUCUACCUCUGCAGCCUUUAGCAUUACGAAGAGCUCGGGAAUUGUCUUAUCCAUCCCUUGCAUGUUAUAGUUCAUCACGAAGCUCUUGUAGCUUGGUGGCAGUGAUUGAAGAACUUUGUCAAUGACACUAUCAACAGGAAGAUUAACUCCCAGUUGAGUCAAGUGAUUAUGAUACCCAGACAUUUUGAGUAUAUGUUCACUGACAGAACUAUUCUCCUCCAUCUUGCAGCUAUAGAAUUUAUUGGAGACUUCAUAUCUCUCAAUCCGGGCAUUUGCUUGAAAUAUUAACUUCAACUCCUGGAACAUCUCAUAUGCUCCAUGACGUUCAAAACAUCGUUGAAGUCCCGAUUCUAAGCCGUAAAGCAUGGCACACUGAACUAUCGAGUAGUCAUCAGCUUUGCUCUGCUAGACGUUCAUAACAUCUGGUGUUGCUCCAGCAGCAGGCCUGGCACCUAGCGGUGCUUCCAGGACGUAAUUCUUCUGUGCAGCAAUGAGGAUAAUCCUCAAGUUACGGACCCAGUCCGUGUAAUUGCUACCAUCAUCUUUCAACUUUGCUUUCUCAAGGAACGCAUUAAAAUUCAACGGAACAACAGCACGGGCCAUCUAUCUACAAUCAAACAUAGACAAGCAAGAUACUAUCAGGUACUAAGUUCAUGAUAAAUUUAAGUUCAAUUAAUCAUAUUACUUAAGAACUCCCACUUAGAAAGACAUCCCUCUAAUCUUCUAAGUGAUCACGUGAUCCAAAUCAACUAAACCAUAACCGAUCAUCACGUGAAAUGGAGUAGCUUUCAAUGGUGAACAUCAAUAUGUUGAUCAUAUCUACUAUAUGAUUCACGCUCGACCUUUCAGUCUCAGUGUUCCGAGGCCAUAUCUGCAUAUGCUAGGCUCGUCAAGUUUAACCUGAGUAUUCUGUGUGUGCAAAACUGGCUUGCACCCAUUGUAGUUGGACGUAGAGCUUAUCACACCCGAUCAUCAUGUGGUGUCUGGGCACGGCGAACUUUGGCAACGGUGCAUACUCAGGGAGAACACUUUUAUCUUGAAAUUUAGUGAGAGAUCAUCUUAUAAUGCUACCAUCAAUCAAAGCAAGAUAAGAUGCAUAAAAGAUAAACAUCACAUGCAAUCAAUAUAAGUGAUAUGAUAUGGCCAUCAUCAUCUUGUGCUUGUGAUCUCCAUCUCCGAAGCACCGUCAUGAUCACCAUCGUCACCGGCGCGACACCUUGAUCACCAUCGUAACAUAGUUGUCGUAUCGCCAAUCUUAUGCUUCCACAACUAUCGUUACCGCUUAGUGAUAAAGUAAAGCAUUACAGCGCAAUUGCAUUGCAUACAAUAAAGCGGCAGCCAUAUGGCUCCUGCCAGUUGCCGAUAACUCGGUUACAAAACAUGAUCAUCUCAUACAAUAAAAUUUAGCACCAUGUCUUGACCAUAUCACAUCACAACAUGCCCUGCAAAAACAAGUUAGACGUCCUCUACUUUGUUGUUGCAAGUUUUACGUGGCUGCUACGGGCUUAGCAAGAACCGUUCUUACCUACGCAUCAAAACCACAACGAUAGUUUGUCAAGUUGGCGCUGUUUUAACCUUCGCAAGGACCGGGCGUAGCCACACUUCGUUCAACUAAAGUUGGAGAAACUGACACCCGCCAGCCACCUGUGUGCAAAGCACGUCGGUAGAACCAGUCUCGCGUAAGCGUACGCGUAAUGUCGGCCGGGCCGCUUCAUCCAACAAUACCGCCGAACCAAAGUAUGACAUGCUGGUAAGCAGUAUGACUUAUAUCGCCCACAACUCACUUGUGUUCUACUCGUGCACAACAUCAACGCAUAAAACCUAGGCUCAGAUGCCACUGUUGGGGAACGUAGUAAUUUCAAAAAAAUUCCUAUGCACACGCAAGAUCAUGGUGAUGCAUAGCAACAAGAGGGGAGAGUGUUGUCUACGUACCCUCGUAGACCGGCAAUGGAAGCAUUGACACAACAUAAAGGAAGUAGUCGUACGUCUUCCCGAUCCGACCGAUCCAAGUACCGAAUGUACGACACCUCCGAGUUCUGCACAUGUUCAACUCGGUGACGUCCCUCGAGCUCCGAUCCAGCAAAACGUUGAGGGAGAGUUUCGUCAGCACGACGGUGUGAUGACGGUAAUGAUGUUCUACCGACACAGGGCUUCGCCUAAGCACUGCUACGAUAUGACCGAGGUGGAAUAUGGUGGAAGGGGGCACCGCACACGGCUAAGGAACGAUCACGAAGAUCAACUUGUGUGUCAUGGGGUGCCCCCUUGCCCCCGUAUAUAAAGGAGGGAGAGGGGGAGGUGCGGCCGGCCCUAAGGGUGCGCCUGGAGGAGUCCUACUCCCACCAGGAGUAGGAAUCCCCCCUCUUGCCUUGUUGGAAAAGGAAGGGGGAAGGGAGAAAGAGGAAAGGGGGGCGCCGCCCCCCCCCCUUCCUUGUCCUAUUCGGACUAGGGGGGAGGGGGCACGCGGCCUGCCCUGGCCGGCCCUCCUCUUCUCCCUUAUGGCCCUUGUAGGCCCAAUAACCCCCCCCCCCCAGAGGGGGGGGGUCCGGUAACCCCCCGGUACUCCGGUAAAAUCCCGAUUUCACCUGAAACAUUUCCGAUAUCCAAAUAUAGGCUUCCAAUAUAUCAAUCUUUAUGUCUUGACCAUUUCGAGACUCCUCGUCAUAUCCGUGAUCACAUACGGGACUCCGAACAAACUUCGGUACAUCAAAACACAAAAACCCUAAUUACGAUCGUCACCGAACUUUAAGCGUGCGGACCCUACGGGUUCGAGAACUAUGUAGACAUGACCGAGACACGUCUCCGGUCAAUAACCAAUAGCGGAACUUGGAUGCUCAUAUUGGCUCCUACAUAUUCUACAAAGAUCUUUAUCGGUCAGACCACAUAACAACAUACGUUGUUCCCUUUGUCAUCGGUAUGUUACUUGCCCGAGAUUCGAUCGUCGGUAUCUUAAUACUUAGUUCAAUCUUGUUACCGGCAAGUCUCUUUACUCAUUCCGUAAUACAUCAUCCCGCAACUAACUUAUUAGUUGUAAUGCUUGCAAGGCUUGAGUGAUGUGCAUUACCGAGAGGGCCCAGAGACACCUCUCCGACAAUCGGAGUGACAAAUCCUAAUCUCGAAAUACGCCAACCCAACAAGUACCUUUGGAGACACCUGUAGAGCACCUUUAUAAUCACCCAGUUACGUUGUGACAUUUGGUAGCACACAAAGUGUUCCUCCGGUAAACGGGAGUUGCAUAAUCUCAUAGUCAUAGGAACAUGUAUAAGUUAUGAAGAAAGCAAUAGCAACAAACUAAAUGAUCAAGUGCUAAGCUAACGGAAUGGGUCAAGUCAAUCACAUCAUUCUCCUAAUGAUGUGAUCCCGUUAAUCAAAUGACAACUCAUGUCUAUGGUUAGGAAACAUAACCAUCUUCGAUCAACGAGCUAGUCAAGUAGAGGUAUACUAGUGACACUCUGUUUGUUUAUGUAUUCACACAUGUAUUAUGUUUCCGGUUAAUACAAUUCUAGCAUGAAUAAUAAACAUUUAUCAUGAUAUAAGGAAAUAAAUAAUAACUUUAUUAUUGCCUCUAGGGCAUAUUUCCUUCAGUCCGAACAGCCUAUUGUGUGAAGCAGAGAGGAUCAUCCACCCCGGGUUGAUAAUCCGGGUCACUUGGCCUUGGUAGUAGCGCCUUAGGUUGGUGGAUAUAAAUUCACUAAGGUGCUCAUGGAUUGAGGCAGCAGCAUCAACAUCCUCUACUAUGAGACGUUCCGUCGGAUGGGGUUGAAUGAUAAGAGUGUUAAGCAAUCCAACACUGUUUUUCAUGGUGUGGUACCUGGCAAGUCGGCAUACCCAGUUGGUAAGAUUGAACUGGAAGUAGCCUUUGGGGGUGGAUAUGACUCCAGAGAAGAAAAAUUAACCUUUGAGGUGGUUAAGAUCAAAAGCCAAUGUCAUGCUCUGUUUGGACGGCUGGCUUAUGCCAAGUUCAUGGCUCGGCCGUGUUAUGUGUAUUUGCAGCUCAAGAUGCCGGGUUAUAAGGGCACCAUUACAGUACAUGGAAGUCGGAAAAUAGCCCUGGAGUGUGAAGAAGGUGAUGCUACAUAUGCUGAGUCUGUUUGUGCAACCGAGGAGUUAAAGUUUUAUAAGGAUCAUGUUGACCCGGCAGACAUGAUGUCUUUAAAGAAACCAACAACGGAGCAUGAGCCGGUGUUGAAAUUCAAAUCAGCUGAUGACACCAAGAUGGUUGACUUUGUGCCUGGCGACUCAUCCAAGCAGUUCAUCAUCAGUGCAAACUUGGAUCCGAAAUAGGAAAGUGCGCUCAUCGAGUUCAUCCGUGAGAACCGGGACAUCUUUGCAUGGAAACCUUCCGACAUGCCGGGUGUCCCGAGGGAAAUCGCAGAGCACACUCUCAAUAUUGAUCCAAAGUUUAAACCGGUUAGACAAUUUCUCUGACGGUUCAACGAGGAAAGGCACAAGGCCAUUGGAGAAGAGGUGGAAGUCUUUCACCCAGAGUGGUUAGCCAACCCGGUGCUUGUACUCAAAAAGAACGACACCUGGCGUAUGUGUGUGGAUUACACUGAUUUAAACAAGGCUUGUCCGGAUGACCCUUUUGCUCCCCCCCUUAUUGAUCAGAUCAUCGAUGCUAUGGCGGGUUGCGCACGUUUGAGUUUUUGGGAUGCUUAUUCAGGUUAUCAUCAGAUCAAGAUGGCAGUCAUAGAUCAGGAGAAGACAGCUUUUAUCACUUCGUUUGGAGCUUUCUGCUCUGUGUCUAUGCCUUUUGGGCUUAAGAGUGCCCAGGCGACUUAUCAACGGUGUGUGCAGAAUUGUCUUCAUAAUCAGAUUGGGCGUAAUGUUCAUGCUUAUGUGGAUGAUAUAGUGUUAAAGUCCAGGAAAGAGGAAACCUUGGUCACAGAUCUGAAAGAGACCUUCGAUAACCUCCGGGUCUACAAAAUGAUGCUUAACCCAGCUAAGUGUGUUUUUGGAGUCCCAGCCGGCAAGCUCUUGGGUUUUUUGGUGUCCAACCGAGGUAUUGAAGCUAACCUAGAGAAGAUUAAGGCAAUCACAUCCCUGGCCAAACCAACAUGCAUCAAUGACGUUCAACGGCUGGCGGGUCGUGUGGCUGCUUUAAGCCGGUUCAUAAGCCGGUUAGGGGAGAAGGCGAUGCCUUUGUAUCAAAUGAUGAAGAAAACAGAUGAUUUUGUUUGGAGUGAUGCCGCGAACUCUGCUUUUGAGGAUCUGAAGAAACAGCUUGCUGAGCCACCUGUUCUUGCUGCUCCAAUGGAGAAAGAGCCGCUAUUGUUAUAUGUAGCCGCUAACUCACGGGCUGUUAGUGUGGCAAUUGUGGUGGAGCGCAAAGAGGUUGGCAAGGAACAUCCGGUUCAACGGCCGGUUUAUUAUGUCAGUGAGGUACUAAUUGAAUCUAAACAAAGAUAUCCACAUUGGCAGAAGCUCGUGUAUGGGGUGUUCAUGGCAAGCCGGAAGUUCAAGCAUUACUUUCAGGGUCACCCGAUCACUGUGGUUAGCUCUGCGCCUUUGGGGACAUCAUCCAGAAUAGAGAGGCUACUGGACGAGUCGCCAAGUGGGCCAUUGAACUUGGAUCUCAUGGGUUGAAGUAUGUGCCACGUACUGCGAUCAAGUCUCAGGUGCUGGUUGACUUUAUUAAUGACUGGACAAAGAUGCAGACGCUGGAGGAGAAACCAGACAACACAUAUUGGACUAUUCACUUUGAUGGGUCCAGACAGUUGGAAGGCUCGGGGGCUGGAGUUGUUUUAACCUCCCCUCGAGGUGACAAAUUUUGUUAUGUGUUGCGGCUGAUGUUUCCUUGCACUAACAACGCAGCGGAAUAUGAAGUCUUGCUCCAUGGUCUUCGAGUGGCCAAAGAGAUGAGCCUGAGCCGGGUCCGGAGUCUUGGCGACUCAGAUUUAGUGGCUCAACAGGUAUUAGGCAAGUGGGAUUUCAAAGACCCUCUCAUGGCGGCUUAUCGUCGUGAAGUUGAUGUUGUUGCAGGACAUUUUAAAGGAUAUCAGGUGGAACACAUUGACCGUAGGAAGAACGAAGCAGCCGAUGCUCUAAGCCGGCUGGGAUCUCAGCGUAAGCCGGUGCCACUUAACACCUUUUUGGAUGUUUUGCAGAAGAAGAUCUAGUUGUUCCUGACCCAGAGGCACAGUUGGUGGCGACUCUUCAUGUCAUCCCAGAUUGGACAGUGUCGUUCUUGGAUUAUAUGACCCGGGGCGAGCUGCCAGCAGAUGAGACCCUGGCCCGACAGAUAACCCGGCGGUCUAAGUCAAUGACGAUUUCUAACGGAGAACUAUACCAUCGCAGCAUCUCUGGAGCGUUUCAGCGGUGUGUUUCCCCUGAAGAAGGCCAAGAAAUACUUCGUGAGAUCCAUGAAGGCGAUUGUGGUCAUCACGCCGGGUCAAAGUCUCUGGUGGCUAAGGCUUUUCGUCAUGGUUUUUACUGGUUGACGGCUCACGCUGAUGCAGAAGAUCUGGUCAGUAGAUGUGACAGAUGUCAAAAAUUCGCACGACGAGCACAUGUGCCGGCUCAAGAGCUACGGAUGAUUCCGAUCACUUGGCCGUCUGCGGUCUGGGGCUUGACAUGGUUGGACCUUUCAAAAGGUCUAAGGAUAAAAAAGACACAUCUUUUAGUGGCAGUUGACAAAUUCACAAAGUGGGUUGAGGCGGAGUCGGUGAGUAAGUGUGAUGCGGCCACGACGGUUCAGUUCAUGAAAAAGGUGAUCUUACGUUUUGGUUUUCCACAUAGCAUUAUCACUGACAAUGGCACUAAUCUAUCUCAAGGGGCUAUGGAGGAGUUUUGUCAACGUGAGCAUAUUCGGCUUGAUGUUUCUUCUGUAGCUCAUCCUCAAUCCAAUGGUCAAGCUGAGAGAGCAAAUAAGGAAAUCUUAAAAGGUCUCAAGCCCCGGCUUAUGGUCCCCUUGCAGCGAACGCCGGGUUGUUGGGUAGAGGAAUUACCCUCGGUACUAUGGAGUAUCAACACCACACCUAACAGGUUUACAGGUUACACACCUUUCUUCAUGGUGUAUGGAGUAGAAGCAGUGUUGCCUAGUGACAUCCGUCAUGACUCGCCCCGUGUGGCGGCUUAUGUUGAAGCUAAUAAUGAACAAGACAGACAGGAUGCACUUGACUUGUUGGAUGAGGAAAGAGACUUAGCAGCAGCUCGAUCAACAAUUUAUCAAUAGGACCUGCGCCGUUAUCACAGCCGCCGGGUUAAGUCCAGGGCCUUUCAAGAAGGCGACCUGGUGCUCCGGCUCAUCCAGGAUCUGUCAGAUGCACACAAGUUAUCCCCGCCUUGGGAAGGACCCUUUGUGGUCAGCAAGAACUUAAACAACGGGUCAUAUUACCUCAUUGACGUUCGAGAGCACAAAGACUCACGUAAGUUGGAAGAGGAGACCCGCCGGCCAUGGAACAUUGCUCAACUUCGGCCAUACUACACAUGAGCCACUGGCUCUCAUCAUGUACAUACUUUAACGUUGUAUAUACUAUGAUAAGUAAUAAAGCAGGACCAUCGGUCUCUUUUCUUUUAAAGAUUACGCAUCUUUGUUGUUUUUUACUAUUUUCCAAUGACUGUUAAGGAGCUGAUCAUAUUUGAAUCAAGUCUAACCUUUUUGGCCUAGCUUACGGUCGUAUUUGAAUCUAGCUGCAACUAUCAUGGUCACUUGGGGGCUUCCUGUUCAAACAUAGGUCGUAUUCGAACCAAAGAGAACAUAGUUGUCGUAACCCUUUUGAUCGGCUCAAAGCCAAACUCACUAGGGGGCUUCUUGAUCGUAUCCGAAUCACAGCUUAACCCCUUUUGGGUCCGACUUGGAUCGUAUUCGAAUCAGGGUCGUUAAAAACCUCUCAAGGUCAUUUGGGGGCUUCCUGUUCAAACAUAGGUCGUAUUCGAACCAAAGAGAACAUAGUUGUCGGUACCCUCUUGAUCGGUGCAACGCCAAAGCUACUGGGGGCUAUAUGGUCGUAUUCGAACCUUAGCUUAACUCCUUUGGUCUGGUUUGCUGAUCGUAUUCGAAUCAAAAACCCCCAACCUUUAAUUACAAGGUUAAUUUUGGUUACCACCUGUUUUUGCUUUAUUGGUUUUUAGUUGUCUCAAUUUUGCAAAUAAUCAGCAUGGUCUUUUCACCGGCUGGACUAUUUGACAACAAGACGCCAGGGCAUAAUACUCAUUAAGUAUUCAGAAGGAUUGACUUCUCAAAAAAGACUGGAUUAUCAACUUCACCCAGUCAUUUAAACCGGUGGUCCGGAGAUCGAAGGUACAGGUGUGGCUAUUGUUUAUGAACAGUUGCUUUCUGUAUUAAUCAAAGGUUAUUUCAGUCUUGUUUUCUUCUUACAUCUGGUUCUGCUUUUUACUAUGAUAAAAAUAUUGGCUAUAAACCGGGUGUUCUGGCCCGUUUGGUACUAAGCCGCCAAGCCAAUUUUUCCUUUUUAUCUGCAGGAACAGAGUUGAAGUAUUGCAGGGACAAUCAUAAAUAUGAUGUAUAUAUAUUAACAUCAGCAAGCACAGAGUAACACACGUGUCUUAUGCGCGAUGGCAUACGCAGAAUAUGCAGUGUUUUCAAAACUAAUCUAUUACAAGGCUUUUACAAGCCCAUGAAGAUGGUCAUCACUCCUCCCUCGCCGGUUCACCGCCCUCUGCUGAUUGGAAGCUUGGUUUUGACCAAUCAAAACCGUUCACGGCAAUAAAUUAUGCAUCUUCGUCAAUCAGGCCGGCCGGAUCAACUUCUAGAGCAAAUGUAUGUUCACGAACAAGCGGGAUCAAAUCUGUCACCUUGUACGAGGGAGUUGCCAUCUUCUUAUUUUCCACAUCAAAACCCGGCUGAUAUUUGUCGAUAUUGGUUUCAUCUUCAAGAAUAGUCGCCUGAGGUCGAACUCCGCGCACGCAAGCCAUGAAGUCGUCUUGUUCAAAGGGAGAUCUGUCUUCCUUCACGGUAGGAUACCCUCUGGCUACAUCCGCUGGGUCUAGAUCUGACACCCAAGCCUUGGGGCGGCUUAGGGCAGUCAAAGCUCCAGCUCUAGCACAAGAGCGCUUGACUUCUUGGAACCCGGCGGGCAAGAUUGACAGCUUCUUUAAAACAUCGUUGAGCCGGUUGGGUCCUUGAUUGGCAGGAGAGAUAGCGGCGAGUGCUCAUUGUGCGCCAAUGUACAACUGCUCUACUAAGGUAUAGACCGCCUUCAGCUUAAUCACGUGGUCUUGAUUCAGAUUCUUGCUUCGAGGGCCUGCUUAUGUUUUGAACGCGAAGGGUCAGCUAGCGGCUUGCAGUCCGGGUCAAAAGAAGGUAAAAAGGUCAAUACAGAUGGCUUACCAAAGAUGGCGGACACCAUUUGUGACACCCGGUUCUUUAAACCGGUCAGCUCCGUCGUAACCUUUUCAAGGGCUGCUUCAGCCUUCUCAACACGUUGUGUCAGAAGCGUUUUUUAUUCAGCCCAGGUUUUCUUCUUGGCAGUAAAGCUGGUUUUUAAUUUUUCCGUCUCAGAGAGACUUACUUGCAGUCUGGAGUCAGCAGACUUGAUCUCUGCCUCCUAAUCCGCCAGCCGGGUCUUCGCAUCAGUUAAUUACGAGCUUAAUCUAGAUAAGGCAUUCUAUAAAACAUACCCAGAUGAGUCAAGAUUUCAGUUAAAGUUCAAAAGUCAAGAUUCAAGAUUCAAGUCUCAAGUACUUUGCAUUGCAAAACCACUUGACACUUGGGGGCUAAUGUAUGCCAAAACAAUUUCUUAUGACUCUAAAACAUACUUUGAGUCCCAAGUACUUUACAAAGUAACAACACUUGGCACUUGGGGGCUAAUGCAUGCUAUUCAGCAAGUUUCUCAAGGUUAAGCCGGAUUACAAUGUUUUUUGGAUACGGUACAAGACAAUUAUGAAAAAUCAAAGUACCGGCUCAUUUAUGGUCAAAUGAACCGGCCCUUGGGGACUACGGAUGAAGCUUUGUUCUAUUUUAUUGAACUCCAGGAAAAUCUAAAAGGAAAAAGUCUUAGCCUAUAUCAUAAAGUCUACAGAUCAUUCCGGUUCUCUCAUAAUCUGAAGACUUGGGGGCUGGCAGAAUAUAAGUAAGCCGAAAGAACAUACCUCAUAUUUCAGCUACAACUACUUGACCAUUUUGAUCUCUGAGUCACGGCUGGAGUGCACAUGGCUGAGAUAACCAGAUAAUAUGUCGUUGGCAUUCAGAUGAUCAUAGUGUGAAAUGUCAAAACACACUUUCUGUUUCUCCAACGCCUCUUGUUUCGCCGUGUGGCGAGCCAACACGGUGGGAUUUCCCGGUUCAACAAAGCGGCUCCCGGUGAUCAGAACGUCUUAUGCAGACGGUGAUGGCAGGUUGGCCGAGCUGGAUGGUCCGGUUGCAGAAGGAUUCACGGUGGUAUCAUCAACUGACGGCUUAGGAGGAUUUACUUCAUCAUUGACAGGCGGGUCUUCUGGAGCUUCAGUUAAUGGAGGAGAAGGUGGCCUUGCCAGUUCAGGUGCAAGGACUGGCGGGUCUUCCACCGGCUUAGUUACCUUGGCCUUCUUAGACUUAGCUUGACCACUAAGAGAAAUAUUAUAGGACCGUCAGUAUAAAGAGACAGUUUGAAAAACACGGAAGAAAGAGGAUUUUUCCACCCAGGGGCAGUCUUAAAGGCCGGAAAUUGGGUCUGAGACGAGUCGCCAGAAGAACAAGACACCUCCUGCAAAGAUAAAACAAAGCUAGGUAAUGCAACGGAAAGGAUCCAUUAACAGAAAUUCAAAGACAAUGAAAUAAACCUCAUUCGGGCGUUUUUGAGGGGUCUGUGGAAGGACAGCAGGCGAAUCAUCAUCAUUCCGGGCCUGAUGGCGGCUCUCAUGUUGCUGUUUUUUCAAAAGAAAAUGAGGGUCCAGAUAAGCCAAAGGGUGUGAAAACCUUACUUUCUGGGUUACGACUCGAAGUUUUUGUCUUGGCAAAUGGGCUGAGUCAGAGGAAAUAGUUACCUCUUCUUCCACGGCCUGACUAGCCCCUGUGUCAUCCUGGUAAUGAUCAGUGUUAAUAAGAUUAUUAAAAAGUUGGCCAAGGGAGUCAAUGGCUACCUCCGACUCAGAAGUGUCAUCAAGCCUCAUCAGGUCCUCAGCAGUGCUUUUCUUCUUAUUGGCCCUCCGGGUGGGUUUCUUGGUGUUUAUAGCAGCAGCUCUAGCCUUCUUGGCGGCUUCGUGGUCAUAUUUGGCUUUCCAGAAAUCAGAUCUGGCAUGUACAUAAAUAAGCAAGAUGAAAGGCCAUGCAGAUACUUAACACAGUUGAGAAAAAUACAAAGAAAGAGAUCGGCGGUUCUUUACCUCUGGCGCCGGGUUAAGUUUGCAGAAGGGGUUUAACCCAACCUUACUGCAGUCUUCAUAUUUUCCGUUUACCAGAAGGGUUGACAUUGCAACAAUAUCUUCUUUGGGUGAUGGGACGGAGCUAUAACGAAGAGAAUCAUUUGGACCUCCACCAUAUUCACACAUCAGUUUUGACCGAUGACUUAGAGGGAUGACCCACCAUGCGACCCAGCAGCGGGUCAAAUCAAUACCGGUUAAGUUGUUCCCCAAUAAGGCAUUAAUCCUUUUGAUUGAGGGGAUCAGCUUCUUGCGUUCAGCAGCAGUAAGCUUGUCAGGGAGCGCGAAUUUGGAGUCAAGACGCUCGGCACGGUAACCCGGCAGUGGCUUUUCAUUCGCUGGUGAGGUGUCUUGACAAUAGAACCAAGUCUGAUUCUAGUCUUUAGGAUGACUCGGCAAGACUAUUAGGGGGAAGACAGCGCCCUGUUGCUACCUCUUGAGCACUGCGUUGGAUUUCCCCGAAGAGGAGAGGAUGAUGCAGCAAAGUCGCGUAAGUAUUUCCCUCAGUUUUUGAGAACCAAGGUAUCAAUCCAGUAGGAGGCUAUGCUCGAGUCCCUCGUAGAUACACAAAAACAAUAGCUCAACGCAACCAACGCACUUAGGGGUUGUCAAUCCCUUCACGUUCACUUACGAAAGUGAGAUCUGAUAGAGAUGAUAAAUAAUAUUUUUGGUAUUUUUGGUAUAUAGAUGCAAAGUAUAAAGUAAAAGCAAAGUAAAAGAAAAGCAAUAAUAAAGUGAUGGAGAUUGAUAUGAUGGGAAAGAGACCUAGGGGCCAUAGGUUUCACUAGUGGCUUCUCUCAAGAGCAUAAGUAUUCUACGGUGGGUGAACAAAUUACUGUUGAGCAAUUGACAGAAUUGAGCAUAGUUAUGAGAAUAUCUAGGUAUGAUCAUGUAUAUAGGCAUCACGUCCGAGACAAGUAGACCAAACUGAUAAUUCGAAAAGACUUUCAAAGAUAACCAAUCAUACAUAAAAGAAUUCGGAGAAGAUUCAAAUAUUAUUCAUAGAUAGACUUGAUCAUAAACCCACAAUUCAUCGGUCUCAACAAACACACCGCAAAAAGAAGAUUACAUCAAAUAGAUCUCCACGAGAGAGGGGGAGAACAUUGUAUUGAGAUCCAAAAAGAAAGAAGAAGCCAUCUAGCUACUAACUAUGGACCCGUAGGUCUGAAGUAAACUACUCACACUUCAUCGGAGGGGCUUGGAUGAUGAUGUAGAAGCCCUCCGUGAUCGAUGCCCCCUCCGGCGGAGCUCCGGAACAGGCCCCAAGAUGGGAUCUCGUGGAUACAGAAAGUUGCGGCGGUGGAAUUAGGUUUUUGGCUCCGUAUCUAAUCGUUUGGGGGUACGUGGAUAUAUAUAUAUAUAGGAGGAAGAAGUACGUCGGUGGAGCUUCGAGGGGCCCACGAGGCAGGGGGCAUGCCCUAGGGGGGCGUCCUCCACCCUCGUGACCGCCUCGUGGCUUUCUUGACGGAGGGUCCAAGUCUCCUAGAUCUUAUCUAAUGAGAAAGUCACGUUUCCGAAGGUUUCAUUCCGUUUGGACUCCAUUUGAUAUUCCUUUUCUUUGAAACCCUAAAACAGGCAAAAAACAACAAUUCUGGGCUGGGCCUCCGGUUAAUAGGUUAGUCCCAAAAAUAAUAUAAAAGUGGAUAAUAAAGCCCAAUAAUGUCUAAAACAGUAGAUAAUAUAGCAUGGAGCAAUCAGAAAUUAUAGAUACGUUGGAGACGUAUCAAGCAUCCCCAAGCUUAAUUCCUGCUCGUCCUCGAGUAGGUAAAUGAUAAAAAUAGAAUUUUUGAUGCGGAGUGCUACUUGGCAUAAUUUCAAUGUAAAUCUUCUUAAUUGUGGUAUGAAUAUUCAGAUUCAAAAGAUUCAUGACAAAAGUUCAUGUUGACAUAAAAAUAAUAAUACUUCAAGCAUACUAACAAAGAAAUUAUUUCUUCUCAAAAUAACAUGGCCAAAGAAAGCUAUCCCUACAAAAUCAUAUAGUCUGGCUAUGCUCUAUCUUCACCACACAAAGUAUUUAAAUCAUGCACAACCCCGAUGACAAGCCAAGCAAUUGUUUCAUACUUUUGACAUUUUCAAAACUUUUUCGAUCUUCACGCAAUACAUGAGCGUGAGCCAUGGAUAUAUCACUAUAUGUGGAAUAGAAUGGUGGUUGUGGAGAAGACAAAAAGGGAGAAGAUAGUCUCACAUCAACUAGGCGUAUCAACGGGCUAUGGAGAUGCCCAUCAAUAGAUAUCAAUGUGAGUGAGUAGGGAUUGCCAUGCAACGGAUACACUAGAGCUAUAAGUAUAUGAAAGCUCAACAAAAGAAACUAAGUGGGUGUGCAUCCAACUUGCUUCCUCACGAAGACCUAGGGCAUUUUGAGGAAGCCCAUCAUUGGAAUAUACAAGCCAAGUUCUAUAAUGAAAAAUUCCCACUAGUAUAUGAAAGUGACAGAAUGAGAGACUCUCUAUCAUGAAGAUCAUGGUCCUACUUUGAAGCACAAGUGUGGUAAAAGGAUAGUAACAUUGUCCCUUCUCUCCUUUUCUCUCAUUUUUUUGGGCCUUCUCUUUUUUAUGGCCUCUUUUUUUCGUCCAGAGUCUCAUCCCGACUUGUGGGGGAAUCAUAGUCUCCAUCAUCCUUUCCUCACUUGGGACAAUGCUAUAAAAAUGAUGAUCAUCACACUUUUUAUUUUUCUUACAACUCAACAAUUACAACUCAAUACUUAGAACAAAAUAUGACUCUAUAUGAAUGCCUCCGACGGUGUACCGGGAUAUGCAAUGAAUCAAGAGUGACAUGUAUGAAAGAAUUAUGAACGGUGGCUUUGCCACAAAUACGAUGUCAACUACAUGAUCAUGCUGGCAAUAUGACAAUGAUGGAGCAUGUCAUAAUGAACGGAACGGUGGAAAGUUGCAUGGCAAUAUAUCUCGGAAUGGCUAUGGAAAUGCCAUGAUAGGUAGGUAUGGUGGCUGUUUUGAGGAAGGUAUUUGGUGGGUGUAUGAUACCGGCGAAAAGUGCGCGGUAUUAGAGAGGCUAGCAAUGGUGGAAGGAGGAAAGUGCGUAUAAUCCAUGGACUCAACAUUAGUCAUAAAGAACUCAUAUACUUAUUGCAAAAAUCUAGAAGUUAUCAAAGCAAAGUAUUACGCGCAUGCUCCUAGGGGGAUAGAUUGGUCGGAAAAGACCAUUGCUCGUCCCCGACCGCCACUCAUAAGGAAGACAACCAAUAAAUAAAUCAUGCUCCCACUUCAUCACAUAACGGUUCACCAUACGUGCAUGCUACGGGAAUCACAAACUUUAACACAAGCAUUUCUCAAAUUCACAAUUACUCAACUAGCAUGACUCUAAUAUCACCAUCCUCAUAUCUCAAAACAAUUAUCAAGCAUCAAUUUUUUUCUUAGUAUUCAACGCACUCAAAAGAAAGUUUUACAAAUCUUGAAUACCAAGCAUAUUAUUAUUAAGCAAAUUACCAUGCUAUUAAGACUCUCAAAAUAAUCUAAGUGAAGCAUGAGAGAUCAAUAGUUCCUAUAAAACAAAUCCAUCACCGUGCUCUAAAAGAUAUAAGUGAAGCACUAGAGCAAAAUUAUAUAACUCAAAAGAUAUAAGUGAAGCACAUAGAGUAUUCUAUCAAAUUCCAAAUUAUGUAUGGAUCUCUCAAAAGGUGUGUACAGCAAGGAUGAUUGUGGUAAACUAAUAAGCAAAGACUCAAAUCAUAAAAUACACUCCAAGCAAAACACAUAUCAUGUGGUGAAUAAAAAUAUAGCUCCAAGUAAAGUUACCGAUAGAAGUAGACGAAAGAGGGGAUGCCUUCCGGGGCAUCCCCAAGCUUUGGCUUUUAGGUGUCCUUAGAUUAUCUUGGGGGUGCCAUGUGCAUCACCAAGCUUAGGCUCUUGCCACUCCUUGUUCCGUAAUCCAUCAAAUCUUUACCCAAAACAUGAAAACUUCACAACACAAAACUUAAAGUAGAAAAUCUCGUGAGCUCCGUUAGCGAAAGAAAACAAAAGACCAAUACAAGGUACUGUAAUGAACUCAUUAUUUAUUUAUAUGGGUGUUAAACCUACUGUAUUCCAACUUCUCUAUGGAUUAUAAACUAUUUUACUAGCCAUAGAUUCAUCAAAAUAAGCAAACAACACACGAAAAACAGAAUCUGUCAAAAACAGAACAGUCUGUAGUAAUCUGUAGCUAGCGCAAGAUAUGGUACCCCAAAAAUUCUAAAAUAAAUUGCUGGACGUGAGUAAUUUAUCUAUUAAUAAUCUUCAAAAAGAAUUAACUAAAUAUCACUCUUCAAUAAAAAUUACAGCAGUUCUCGCGAGCACUAAAGUUUCUGUUUUUUUACAGCAAGUUCAACAAGACUUUCCCCAAGUCUUCCCAACGGUUCUACUUGGCACAAACACUAAUUAAACACAAAAACACAAAAAAAACAAAGGCUAAAUAAUUUAUUUAUUACUAAACAGGAUAAAAAAGCAAGGAAUAAAAAUAAAAUUGGGUUGCCUCCCAACAAGGGCUAUUGUUUAACGCCCCUUGCUAGGCAUAACAAGCAAUAAUAGAUCUAGGUAUUGCCAUCUUUGGUAGGCAAUCCAUAAGUGGCUCUCAUAAUAGAUUCAUAAGGUAAUUUAAUUUUCUUUCUAGGAAGGUGUUCCAUGCCCUUUUUUAAUGGAAAUUGGAAUCUAAUAUUUCCUUCCUUCAUAUCAAUAAUUGCACCAACCAUUCUAAGGAAAGGUCUACCGAGAAUAAUAGGGCAAGAAGGAUUGCAAUCUAUAUCAAGAACGAUAAAAUCUACGGGCACAUAAGUCCUAUUUGCAACAAUAAUAACAUCAUUAAUUCUUCCCAUAGGUUUCUUAAUAGUGGAAUCCGCAAGAUGCAAGUUUAGAGAGCAAUCAUCAAAAUCACGAAAAUCUAGCAAAUCACACAAAGUUUUGGGAAUAGUAGAGACACUAGCACCCAAAUCACACAAAGCAUAAAACUCAUAAUCUUUAAUUUUAAUUUUAAUAGUAGGUUCCCACUCAUCAUAAAGUUUUCUAGGGAUAGAAACUUCCAAUUCAAGUUUUUCUUCAUAAGAUUGCAUCAAGGCAUCAACGAUAUGUUUAGUAAACGCUUUAUUUUGACUAUAAGCGUGAGGAGAAUUUAGCACGGAUUGCAACAAGGAAAUACAAUCAAUCAAAGAGAAAUUUUCAUAGUUAAAUUCCUUGAAAUCCAUAAUAGUGGGUUUAGCAACAUCUAGGGUUUUAAUUUCUUCAAUCCCACUUUUAUCAAAUUUAGCAUCAAGAUCAACAAAUUCUGAAUUCUUAGAACGCCUUCUAGGUAAAGGUGGAUCAUAUUCAGUCCCAUCAUUAUCACGAUUCAUAUUGCAAAACAAAGAUUUAAUAGGGGACACAUCAAUAACUUUUAGAUCUUCAUCAUUAUUUUCAUAGGAACUAGAAGAACACGCUUUAAUAAAGGCAUCUUUCAUAGCACGCGUCCUAGCGGUUCUUUCUUUGCACUCGUCAAUGGAAAUUCUCAUGGCUUUGAGAGACUCAUUGAUAUUAUGCUUAGAUGGAUUAGAUCUAAGUUUCAAAGAAUCAACAUCAAGAGCAAUUCUAUCAACGUUCCUAGCCAAAUCAUCAAUCUUAAGCAAUUUUUCUUCAAUCAUAGCAUUAAAAUUCUUUUGCGAAGUAAUAAAUUAUUUAAUAUUAGACUCAAAAUCAGAGGGCAUCUUAUUAUAAUUUCCAUAAGAAUUGUUGUAGGAAUUACCAUAAUUAUUAGAGGGAUUACUAGGAUAAGGCCUAGGAUUGAAAUUUUCUCUAUACGCGUUGUUACCAAAAUUGUUCCUACCAACAAAAUUCACAUCCAUAGAUUCAUUACUAUUCCCAAUCAAAGUAGACAAGGGCACAUCAUUAGGAUCAGAAGAAACACUCUUAUUAGCAAAUAAUUUCAUAAGUUCAUCCAUCUUUCCACUCAAAACAUUAAUUUCUUCUAUCGCAUGCACCUUUUUGUUAGUAGAUCUUUCAGUGUGCCAUUGAGAAUAAUUAACCAUAAUAUUAUCUAGGAGUUUAGUAGCUUCUCCUAAAGUGAUUUCCAUAAAAGUGCCUCCCGCGGCCGAAUCUAAAAGAUUUCUAGAAGCAAAAUUCAAUCCAGCAUAAAAAUUUUGUAUAAUCAUCCACAAAUUUAAACCAUGAGUAGGGCAAUUAUGUAUCAUUAAUUUCAUUCUCACACAAGCUUGUGCAACAUGUUCAUGAUCCAGUUGCUUAAAAUUCAUAAUAUCAUUUCUAAGAGAGAUGAUCUUAGCGAGAGGAAAAUACUUAGAGAUAAAAGCAUCUUUGCACUUGUUUCAUGAAUCAAUACUAUUUUUAGGCAAAGACGAAAACCAAGCUUUAGCACGAUCUCUAAGCAAAAAAGGAAAUAGCUUCAAUUUAACAAUAUCAUUAUCGACAUCUUUCUUCUUUUGCAUGUCACACAAAUCAACGAAGCUAUUAAGAUGGGUAGCGGCAUCUUCACUAGGAAGGCAGGAGAACGGAUCUUUCAUGACAAUAUUCAGCAAAGCAGUAUUAAUUUCACAAGAUUCAGCAUCGGUAAGAGGAGCAAUCGGAGUGCUAAGGAAAUCAUUAUUGUUGGUAUUGGUGAAGUCACACAAUUUAGUAUUAUCUUGAGCCAUCGUGACAAACAAGCAAACUAACACACAAGCAAACAGAAAGCAAACGGGCAAAAAGAGGCAAAUAGAGAGGGAGGAGGAGGAUAGAGAGAGAGGGCGAAUAAAACGGCAAUAGUGAAUUGGGGGAGAGGAAAACGAGAGGCAAAUGGCAAAUAAUGUAAUGCGGGAGAUAGGGAUUGUGAUGGGUACUUGGUAUGUUGACUUUUGCGUAGACUCCCCGACAACGGCGCCACAAAUUCUUCUUGCUACCUCUUGAGCACUGCGUUGGAUUUCCCCGAAGAGGAGAGGAUGAUGCAGCAAAGUAGCGUAAGUAUCUCCCUCAGUUUUUGAGAACCAAGGUAUCAAUCCAGUAGGAGGCUACACUCGAGUCCCUCGUGCCUACACAAAAACAAUAGCUCAAUGGAGCCAACGCGCUUAGGGGUUGUCAAUCCCUUCACGGUCACUUACGAAAGUGAGACCUGAUAGAGAUGAUAAAUAAUAUUUUUUGUAUUUUUGGUAUAGAGAUGCAAAGUAUAAAGUAAAAAGCAAAGCAAUAAUAAAGUGAUGGAGAUUGAUAUGAUGAGAAAGAGACCCGGGGGCCAUAGGUUUCACUAGUGGCUUCUCUCAAGAGCAUAAGUAUUCUACGGUGGGUGAACAAAUUACUGUUGAGCAAUUGACAGAAUUGAGCAUAGUUACGAGAAUAUCUAGGUAUGAUCAUGUAUAUAGGCAUCACGUCAGAGACAAGUAGACCGACUCCUGCCUUCAUCUACUACUAUUACUCCACUCAUCGACCGCUAUCCAGCAUGCAUCUAGAGUAUUAAGUUAAAAACAGAGUAACGCCUUAAGCAAGAUGACAUGAUGUAGAGGGAUAGUUUCAUGCAAUAUGAUAAAAACCCCAUCUUGUUAUCCUCGAUGGCAACGAUACAAUACGUGCCUUGCUGCCCCUUCUGUCACUGGGAAAGGACACCGCAAGAUCGAACCCAAAGCUAAGCACCUCUCCCAUGGCAAGAACAACCAAUCUAGUAGGCCAAACCAAACUGAUAAUUCGAAGAGACUUGCAAAGAUAACCAAUCAUACAUAAAAGAAUUCAGAGAAGAUUCAAAUAUUAUUCAUAGAUAGACUUUAUCAUAAACCCACAAUUCAUCGUUCUCAACAAAUACACCACAAAAAGAAGAUUACAUCGAAUAGAUCUCCAUGAGAGAGGGGGAGAACAUUGUAUUGAGAUCCAAAAAGAGAGAAGAAGCCAUCUAGCUACUAACUAUGGACCCGUAGGUCUGAAGUAAACUACUCACACUUCAUCAGAGGGGCUUGGAUGAUGAUGUAGAAGCCCUCCGUGAUCGAUGCCCCCUCCGGCGGAGCUCCGGAACAGCGCCCAAGAUGGGAUCUCGUGGAUAAAGAAAGUUGCGGCGGUGGAAUUAGGUUUUUGGCUCCGUAUCUGAUCGUUUGGGGGUACGUGGAUAUAUAUAUAGGAGGAAGAAGUACGUCGGUGGAGCUUCGAGGGGCCCACGAGGCAGGGGGCGUGCCCUAGGGGGGCGCCCUCCACUCUCGUGACCGCCUCGUGGCUUUCUUGACGGAGGGUCCAAGUCUCCUAGAUCUUAUCUGAUGAGAAAGUCACGUUUCCGAAGGUUUCAUUCCGUUUGGACUCCGUUUGAUAUUCCUUUUCUUCGAAACCCUAAAACAGGCAAAAACAACAAUUCUGGGUUGGGCCCCCGGUUAAUAGGUUAGUCCCAAAAAUAAUAUAAAAGUGGAUAAUAAAGCCCAAUAAUGUCUAAAACAGUAGAUAAUAUAGCAUGGAGUAAUCAAAAAUUAUAGAUACGUUGGAGACGUAUCACCUGUCGGCGUUGAAUCGAGAUGCCUCCAAGUUCCAAGCUAGAGCCAUUGGUGUACUUGUUCUGGCAGUUCAGAUAAAAAUACUCUCUGAAGAGUUCUACUGUCGACUCUUCCUGAAGAUACACCUCACAGAGCACUUGGAAGUUGCAGAUAUUGGAUAUAGAAUUGGGCCCGAUAUCUUGAGGAUGGAGUUUGAAAAAGUGAAGGACAUCUCUGAAGAACUUUGAGCCGGGUGGGAAAAAUCCACGGUUCAUGUGAUCAGAAAAGACGAUAACUUCACCAUGUUUUGGAUUAGGCCGAUCCUCCUCCGGGUCAGGUGCACGAUAAGACAUGACAUCUUUUCCUGGCAAAAAUCCUAUGGAGAAAAACUCCUUCAAGUUGUCCUCAGUCAUGGUUGAGGGAACCCAGUUGCAAACAGUCGGCACUUUGGAUGGCAUGAUGUUCAAACGAGCUGAAAGGACAGCAACAUGUCGGCUCAAUUCAAUGAUAAAGUUGAAAAUUAAGUGAUAAUGGUACAGGGGAGUAAUGGCGGCUUAAAUAAGGGCUAAUGACAUAUAAGGAAAAGUAAGCCGGGACAGUAAGCCGCCAUGACUAUAGAUUUUUUCAGAAGGCAGAUUCAGCUAAGUGUUGAGAUAAACAAGUUUCCCAAACUGCUUGAUAUUAUUCCAGAUCAAAUGGCUGUUCAAAAUGAAGAACUUCCUAGAACUAAAAUUGUAGCCCAGAUGAGUUCAUCAGCUCUAAGAAAGGUGUCUGUGCAAAGGAAAGGGAUCUACUAACAUCUAAAAUGGGUGUAAAACCACUGCCACACGAGCUAAGUGUUCCUUUUCAAUCAAGAGAGGCUGUGGAGGAAGAACUACUAGAUAAGUUCAUGAUGAACAGUGAAGAACACCGAUGAACUCGCAAACCCUAAUGCAUAUCUAAGAAGUUUGAGAAGGCAAGAAUUACGGAUGCAGAUCUGUUGCGGAGGGUCGUCGCCGUUUCUCUGGACAGUUCAGGGUGAUGUAGCGGCCAAGCUUGAGGACGACGAUGAGCACUGCGGCGGCGGCGGAGCUCGAGCAGCAGCGGAGGUUGCGAGAGGAAGAAGAUGAAGAAGAGAGGAGAAUGAGAAAAACCGGCCGCAUGCCUAUUUAUAAGGAAAAAAGCGAACAGGCGGGCGCAAAAAUCGAGGAAGGCCCAAAAUAAUGGUUAUCUAACUGGAUGGACGCCUCGAUUCUCGGAAGGCACUAAAGAUGAAGAUCCGUUGGAAGAUGACAUCAUAAAAGUUUUUUGGGUUUUCCAGAGAUGAUGUCAUGGCGGGUUACAAAAACCUCUGCGAGGAUAAGAAGAUGGAUUUUGUCUAAGUAUUGAAGAUUGACAAGGAACAAAGUUCAAAGUCAACCUGGGGCCUAAUAUUGGGGAUAUAACUAUCAGUUAUGACCCGCCCAAUAGGGGUCGGGUCAGCCCCAAUGGCGGGUCACCAAGGAAGCCCAGUAAACACUCAAGGUGAUAGUUUAUUAAACCUUAUAGAAGGCCUAAAGGCCCGGAGGUGGCUUAAGGCCCAAUAUUGUAAACCGUCAUAUGUAAGGAAAGACUUGUAAGGAAAGGCAUGUAAAAGAAGUCGCCGAGCCGGACACAUUUUAUGAACUAGCCUCUUGGUGAUCGAAACCCCAGCAAUACCAACACAACUAGACGUAGGCUUUUACCUUCAUCGUAAGAGGCCGAACUAGUAUAAAACCUCUCGUGUCCUUUGUCCCGAUUAACCCCUUUAAGCUUCCUAGUUGUGAUGGCCCUGCGACUAAGUCCUUCUGCUAGGACAUCUGCCGUGACAAUUCCACUGCAGGGACGGUUGUGCGCGUUGCGGAGAUGGCCGAACCUAGAGCUCAUGCUCGGGCGGAUCGGUUUGGGGCCCAAAAAUGCUACACUUACGGGCAGCACACAGGAAAAUUAGCUUACGGACUACUCCCUCCGUCCGAAAAUACUUGUCAUCAAAAUAGAUAAAAAGGGGUGUAUCUAGAACUAAAAUACAUCUAGAUACAUCCCCUUUUAUUCAUUUUGAUGACAAGUAUUUCCAUACGGAGGGAGUACCUCCUAACCAAUCCCUUCCCCCCCCCCCCCCUGAUUUAUAGUGUGGGCCCUGCCGCCCUUUGUUUUACAAUUAACCAUUGCCAAAUCAGUCCGUAACUUGCUUUCCGUGGGAUAUGUCCGUAAGUGUAGCAUAGUUGGUUUGGGCCUUUGGGGCCUGAGGCGGAUCGGAGCUCUGGCUCCAGCAUGAAAAGAAGAGUAGUGAGGUUAGGGGUGGAAACGGAUCGGAUGCGGAUCGGAUAGUGCUCUUACCACUUCCAUUUUCGUAUUUUCAAAACGAAUAUGAAUCUGAAUACGGAUGUUCUCGGAUACGGAUGCGGUUCGGAUAUUAUUUGAAUACUGAUACGUAUCGGAUAUUUUCUUGAUUCGGAACGGAUAUGAAUAAUAUCAACAUGUUGCUUAAGUAAAUUAGUCGAUAGCUAUGUGACCUAAAAUAAUCAACUUGCGACAUACAAUAAGUCAAUGAUAAAUAGGUUUAUGAAUAAAUACUAUUGUAAUGCAUAAUAAUUUAUAAGUUUAAUCAUAUAAAGAGUAAAAUUUAACUACUUAUUUGGCUUUUAUGUUGGAUAAUUGGAAUAUUGGGCCUAGAAUUUAAAAAAAUACCUCCCAUAAUCUUCUUCGGAUACGGAUAUAUCCACUUCCAUAUCCAUAUUUGUGUCAAAAUCUCCUACCAUAUUUUAUUUUAUAUUUGUUUAAUAAAUUCGGAUACGGACAAUUUCCAUUUCCAUUUUGGUUCGGAUGCGGAUGUUUCGGAUACGAAUAGGCAUUUUCUCGAAUACGAAUAUCAGAUAUUUCGGAUUAUCCACUACCACUUUCCACCCCUAAGUGAGGUUGCCUAGCGCCAUCCGCCAACCCAGCACCGAGAUAUCCAUCCUCUCGCUCAGGCCGCCAUCGUCACCUUUGAAAGGAACUGCACCCGCUGGCCCAACCAUGGAAAACCUUGCCUCGACGACGAUCGGGAUGACCAGCAAGGGACACGCGGCACCGACUCGCCGAUGCUUCCAUGUAGAGCAGCGCCAACGGGGGAAGUUGAGGAAACUUUAUUCACCUUAGAGCCACUGGCGCCACAAAAAACUAAUCCUAGCCUAUCUACAUGUCGGCGCCGAAGCAUCAGUGUUCCCCACACCUCUCGCCAAUGGAGCGGCAGACGAAGGGAGGAAGAUCCCACGGGCUGGCCAUUAGGGUUUGAAGGUGGAAAGUGGUUCUCUGCGCUCUGCACAGCUAUCGGGAGGGUAUAUGAUACUCCCUCUGUUUCUUUUUAGUCUGCAUAUAAAAUUUGGUCAAAGUCAAACUUUGUAAAGUUUGACUAACUUUAUAGAAAAAAUACUAACAUCUACAAUACUAAAGCUAUAUGGUAUGAAAGUUUAUUUCAUGAUGCAUCUAACAAUAUUGAUUUCAUAUUAUGAAUCUUACUAUUUUUUUCUAUAUACUUAGUCAAAGUUAAGAAAGUUUGACUUUGAUCAAAUCUUAUAUGCAGACUAAAAAGAAACGGAGGGAGUACUUCUUUUCAUGCUGCUGAUUGUUCAAUCUUGUGUUCAUGAUAGUCGAUUUGCAUUAUAGUAUGGAUAAUUUUUUUAAAAUGUAAUAUAUGCUGAUGCAAUGCAGACUUCACCGAGUCAGAUCCUCGCCAUCUCUGUAGUUGUUCACGGUCAGGAAUGCAUGUCCGUCUUGAUCUUUCACACAUUGUAUCGGUUUGCCAGAGUAAAUGUUAUGCUAGUACACUCACUCAGAUGCAUGCAUGCGAUAACCGGACCUCGGCUUGUAGGAGCACGUACCUACAUGUUGUACAAGCAGAUUUCCAAGUCAUGAGUUAACCCAUGGCUCGUCUUGACCGUUCACAAACUGACAACGUAUUUACUAAUUGAUUUCCACGUGAUGUGUUAAAUCCAUGGCUUGUCUUGAUGGUUCACACACUGACACCGUAUAUACCAACCGAUUUCCAAGCCAUGAGUUCAAAACAAUCGUGAGAUUUGGGUACACUAGGAUCAAUGCCUAGCUAGGUUUGGUUCACCGCCGAACGACUUGGGACUCCUAUAUAAAGGAGCCUUGCAUUCGGCAUUUCCAUCAACACCUCAUCCUCAACACAUCCAGUAAAGCACACGUCCUAGCGAUGAAGGGCCUCUUACUGUGUGCGCUCGCACUUGCGUUUGCUGUGGUGACCACCGACGCCCAGCGCUGCGGCAAGCAGGGCGAUGGCAUGGAGUGCCCCAACAACCUCUGCUGCAACAAGGAUGGGUACUGCGGCCUGGGCGUCACCUACUGCAAUGCUGGCGCCGGCUGCCAGAGCGGCGCCUGUUAUGACAACAAGAUCUGUGGCGCGCAGGCCGGUGGCGCAUUGUGCCCUAGCAACCACUGUUGUAGCUCAGGUGGUCGUUGCGGCUACGGCAGGGAAUAUUGCAGCAACGACUGCCAGAGCGGUCCUUGCUGGGAUCUCAAGUGUGGCCACCUGGCCAAUGGCAGGCCCUGCCCCAACAACCUCUGCUGCAGCCCAAAUGGUACAUGUGGCCUAGGACCGGAGUACUGCGGUGCUGGCUGCCAAAACGGCGCCUGCAGCACUGACAAGCCGUGUGGCAACAAAGCUAAUGGUGCACCAUGCAACAACAACUAUUGUUGCAGCCAGUAUGGAUCUUGUGGACUCGGCCAGGAUUACUGUGGUGCCGGCUGCCAGAAUGGCUCAUGCAACUAGUAAUAUUGUGGUACACUCCUUCCUUCAUGGCUGACAUACUCAAGUACUCACUACCUUUAACUGCUGCCAUGGAAGUAUAAGCGUCGCAAUGCAGAAGUAUAAGCAUUGAAACAAGUAAUAAUCAGUGGCAAUAGCUAAUAUUAUUGUCCCAAAUUAAGUUCUACUUGUACCAGCUAAGUAUGGUUGUCAAGCUGUCAACAUUUGUUCUAUUAAGUAUUACGUUUUGUUGCCAAUCUGGUGAUACUAUAUAUUGCCACUUGUUUUAGUUUUCUUUGUUGGGACGCUGGAAUAUUGAAUAAUUAUUGUGUUAUACUCACGUUUAACUGCUGGGAAAAAGCAGAAAGAAAUUCAAUAUAAACCUUUUAAGGGAAUAAAAGGAUCAUGGUGAACAAAAAAAACCUCACAGAACAUUUUUCUUCUCUAAGGUAAACAUACGAGUUGAACGUCUUCACUACCAUGGAACACUGGAUCCAGGGCACUUUAUGUGCAUUGUCACGGUGUAUACAAACAUCCGGUGUUUAUGCCUUAGAUAUGAUCAUUUUGGUUAUUUGGAGAAGACAGCAAAAGUGCACAAUAUUGCACUCCGGAUUUAAAUAUGCAGCCACAAGGUCCUCUAAACAGAUUUCGAUAACAUCGCAGGAAGUUAUGGAAUAGGAAAAUCUGCAAGUGAAACUCUUUACCCUGAAUCUAAGUUCAAACAACUUAGAGAACAUACAAGCCCAAUACAAACGCCACGGAAUCUAAGUUCCGGACAUUCAUGGUGAGCAAAAAUGGGUUAUCACAGGAUAAGAACAUUCAGAUUAAGAACACAAAGCAACCGUAAUCACAGGAUAAGUUUUAUCACAUAUUAGGUACUAACAAGAUUCAGGUUUCACUUAAUUCAUAACAGAGAUCACACUACCACAAGUUUGACAAACGACACAUGACACAGUCUUGCACAUAAGAGAUAAGGCAAGAUGCCACCGGGCGCAACAGGCUUGUGAAUCAAACAUCCAAGGGUGCGAGGAACUCACUGGCCACCACGAAGGCAGAGCACCAAGUGUACAGUAGACUCCUUCUGAAUGUUGUAAUCCGCAAGAGUGCGACCAUCCUCGAGCUGCUUGCCAGCAAAGAUCAGGCGCUGCUGGUCCAGGGGGAUGCCCUCUUUGUCCUAGAUCUUCGCCUUCACAUUGUCAAUGGUGUCCGAAGAUUCCACCUCCAGGGUGAUGGUCUUGCCAGUAAGGGUCUUGACGAAGAUCUGCAUGCCACCACGGAGGCGGAGCACCAGAUGGAGGGUCGACUCCUUCUGGAUGUUAUAAUCAGCUAGGGUACGGCCAUCUUCCAGCUGCUUGCCGGCAAAGAUGAGACACUGCCAAAUCCAGAAUAUCAGUGCAUCUGAUACCUCCUCGUACCAUAUAACUUCAAUGGUCUAUGAAGAAGCAGUAUAUAUAGUCAUGAUAUAAUCUCAACGCAUGGUUAUAUGAUAUUAGGUUUACAUCGGUGAAAUAUCAUGCAAAAGAAAUAACUAUGAAGAAGCAGCAUAUAUAAAUAACUCUCACAUGAGAAAAACUCCAAAAUAUUACAUCCAAGUCAUAACAUAAUACAUCCAUGACAUAACAAGUCUCGGCAUAACUAGAUUGAAUGCCUGUAGAGGCUAGAAUGGAAAAGAAAAACGGUUCCCAUCCCCAGAGGUCUCGGGCUGCCAGCCGAGAUCCCCUAUCUACUCAUCAUCGUUGUAGAAAACAAGAGGUAAAUCACAUGAGUAGUAAACUCCACGUUAUUGUUACACUAGCACAUAAGGUAUUCACCAUGAACUAAAUGUCUCUGCGCCUAACUUCUCUAUAGUGAUAUCUGAUUCUUAUUUUAAAUUUUUGUUAUUUCAACUUUUUUUAUAAUUUAUAGUGGAAGUUUUUUCAUUGUAGUUUUUUGUAUGAGUUUUUUCAAAAAUAGAGGUAAGCAUUAUCAUCAUUUUCUUACUUUUCCUUUUUCUAUUACUUAUGUAGUGUUGUUUUCUGUUCAUGGAAUGAUACUUCCUGUUGAGAAAGGUAGCUACGUGUCCAUACAAAAUUACGGUUACAACGGCAUACGUGCACCUCAACAAGACAAAGUCAGAAGAACAUUUGCCCCAGUAAAAUUGCAGAAAGGAACCCCAAAAGAAAAGAAAAUGCAAUCAUGUCCUUGGAGAUCCCUAUGCACAUAGAAAAGAAAUUAUCUGCUGCCGACACCCGCCACCCACAAAAUACCUACAGAGGCGAAGGAUAUGAAGGUACAUCACACCCAAAUCCAAAGGAGCGCUAUUGCCACGUAGCCGCUCUGUGAGCCAAAUAACAUGUUCGCCGCGCCGCAGAACAAUUUCCAAUGUGACACAUUAGCCGGGACACAUCACCAUGUCACCUGCCGGACUUCCGCACCGCCGUCUUCACUCGAGGAAUUCAAAGAAGAGCAGUGAGACUGCCUGACGCCAUCCGCCAACCCAACACCGAGAUAUCCAUCCUCUUGCUCAGGCCGCCAUCAUCACCCUUCCAAGGAACUACACCAACAGUCCGCUUCAAAGGAACUACACCCGCAGUCCUAGACAUGGAAAUUCUAGCCUCGAUGAUCCGGAUGACCAUCAAGGGACAUGCGGCACCGACUCGCCGAUGCCUCCAUGUAGAACAUCGCCGAGACAGGGGAAGUCAAGGAAAAAUUAUUCAACUGCCGCCACGAAAACUAAUCCUAAUAACCUGUCAACGGGUCGGCGUCGAAGCAUCGGUGUUCCCCGCACCUCUUGCCGACGGAGCGACAGACGAAGGGAGGAAGGUCCCACAGGCUGGCCAGCGGCGAUUGAAGGUGGAAAGUGGUUCCCCGCGCUUUGCACUGCUAUCGGGAGGGUAUAUGAUACGUACUUUUUGUUCAUGCUGCUGAUUGUUCAAUCUUGUGUUCAUGAUAGUCGAUUUACCUUAUAGCAUGGAGAUUUUUUUUAAAGUAAUAUAUGCUUAUGAUAUACAGACUUCAGCCGUCAGGUCCUCGCAGUCUCGUUUUUUGUUCACGGUCAGGAAUGCAUCUCCGUCUUGAUCUUUCACACAUUGUAUCGGCUUGCCAUAGUAAAUGUUAUGCAAGUACACUCACUCAGAUGCAUGCAUGCGAUAACCGGACCUCGGUUUGUAGGAGCACGUACCUACAUGUUGUACAAGCAGAUUUCCAAGUCACGAGUUAAUCCAUGGCUCGUCUUGACCGUUCACAAACUGACAACGUAUUUACCAAUUGAUUUCCACGUCAUGUGUUAAAUCCAUGGCUCGUCUGGACGGUUCACACACUGAAUUUUCCAAGUCAUCGUGAGUUAAAGAAAAUCGUAAGAUUUGAAUACACUGGGAUCAAUGCCUAGCUAGGUUUGGUUCACCACCCAACGACUUGGACUCCUAUAUAAAGGAGCCUUGCAUUUGGCAUUUCCAUCAACACAUCCUCAAAACAUCCAGUAAAGCACACAUCCUAGCGAUGAAGGGCCUCCUCUUGUUGUGCGUGCUCGCACUUGCCUUUGCUGCGGUGACCACCCAUGCCCAACUGCAGUCCUGCCCGGCGCGCUGCGGCAAGCAGGCCGACGGCAUGGAGUGCCCCAACAACCUCUGCUGCAGCAAGGAUGGGUACUGCGGCCUAGGCGUCGACUACUGCAGCGCUGGCGCCGGCUGCCAGAGCGGCGCCUGCUACGACAACAAGAUCUGCGGCACGCAGGCCAAUGGCACAUUGUGCCCUAACAACCACUGUUGUAGCUCGGGUGGUCGUUGCGGCUACGGCAGUGAAUACUGCAACAACGGCUGCCAGAACGGUCCUUGCUGGGCUGAUCUCAAGUGUGGCCACCGGGACAAUGGUAAGCUAUGCCCCAACAACCUCUGUUGCAGCCGGUAUGGUUAUUGUGGCCUAGGACCGGAGUUCUGUGGUACUGGCUGCCAAAACGGCGCUUGCAGCACGGACAAGCCGUGUGGCAACAAGGCCAAUGGUGCAGCAUGCACCAACAACUAUUGUUGCAGCCUGUAUGGGUCUUGUGGGCUUGGCAAGGAUUACUGUGGUACCGGCUGCCAGAGCGGUGCAUGCAACUAGUAUUACUGUGGUACGCUCCUUCCUUCCUGGUUGACAUACUCAAGUGCGUGCUACCCUUGAAUUGUUGCCAUGGGAGUAUAAGUGUUGCAAUGAGAAAGUAUAAGCAUUGCAACGAGGAGUAAUAAUAAGUGGCAAUAGCUAAUAUUAUUGUCCCAAAUUAAGUUCUACUUCUACCUGCUAAGUAUGUCAAGUUGUGGACAUUUGUCCUAAUAAUCGACAUUUGUCCUAGUAUUAUGUUUUGUUGACAUCGUGUAAUGUUAUUGUAUGAUCUGGUGAUACUAUAUAUUGCCACUUGUUUAAGUUUGCUACUUCUUUUUUGCGAUACAAUUUCCGAUCUAUUCAUCUUCAAUCAUGACGGUAUAAUGAACAUCGCAAAAAAUAAAAAUUACAUCCAGAUUCAUAGACCACCUACCGACGACUACAAGCACUGAAGCGAGCCGAAGACGCUUGUCGGGCAAAACUUGUUGUAGUAGACAGUCGGAAAGUCGUCAUGCUAAGGCCCCAUAGGACCAGCGCACCAGAACAGCAACUGCCGCCGAUGAAGAGUAGCGUAGAUCGGAAUGGCCCAGCCUGAAGAAACACAAACAUAGACGAACUACGACCAGAUCCGAGCAAAUCCACCAAGGACAGAUCCGCCAGAGACACACCACCACACGCCCACCGACGAUGCUAGACACACCACCGGGAUGAGGGCUCGGGGGGGAGGGGAAUCUUAUUCCAUCUUCAGGGAGCCGCCUCCAUCUCGUCUUUCGGAGUAGGACACAAACCCUAACAAGAUUCGAAAGAACGUCUAAAAACAGAGCCCUCCCGCCGGCAAGGGCCGGAAUCCACCAUGUCGACAUGGCUCUAAGACCACCAGAGACGAGGCGGACCGGCAGCGCCGGCGGGAGACAAAAGAACCCUAAGCUUUUCUUGCGGGAGGAGGCGACUUAUGACGUACGGCAACCUGCACGUGAUGUUUGGUCGAUGCCUAGAGAACACGAUGGAUGCACCAGCACCAGCCAGCAUUUUGUCAACCAGUACAUUUUGUUGCGACCCUGGAAUAUUGAAUAAUUAAUGUGUUAUACUCAUGGUUAUUAACUUGCUGGAAAAAAAUACAGUAAAACUAUGAAGGGAAGGAAACGAUCAUGGUGAACAAAAAAAAACUGGAACAUUUUUCUUCUCUAUCGUGGAACACUGGAUCCCAAGCACACUAUGUGUGUUUUCGCAGUGUAUACAAACAUCCGGUGUUUACGCCUUCGAUAUGAUCAUUUUUUGGUCAUUUGGAGAAGACAGCAAAAGUGCACAAUAUUGCACUGCAGGUAUAAAUAUGCAGCCGGAACUUCUUUUUAAAAAGAAAAAAGAAUAGUCUGAUAUCUAACAGAUUUUGACAUCACAAGAAGACAGAUCUCGACAUUAUCGCAGGAAGUUAUGGCACAGGUAAAUCUGCAAGUGGAACUCUCCCUCUGAAUCUACAAGAAAUCUCAGAUGUUUGGGACUAGACCAGCAAACAAAAGAUAACAGACAAGUUCAGGGAACGCCCGUACGCAUGGAGAACAACCACGUUCAAUCAUGCAGUCUGUCAAAUGCGCAAUCGAUAUAGCAGUGGACCUCUCUGUUGCAGGAAAAAAGCAAGCCGUGAGGCCUGCGAAGGGGAUACAGAAGUGGAAGCCGCCUGAUGAUCCUUUUCUAAAAAUAUAUGUGGAUGCCUCGUUCCUUGAAGAAUCCCAUCAAGGUGGAACAGGACUUGUGUCCGCAAUCAUCGAGCCAAGGUGAGCUUAUUCGGGCAAUCUGGUAUGAAACAGGAUUAACGCAAUUACUAUGGAAGCGUAUGCUGUUAGAGAUGGCGUGCAACUGGCCUAUGAUCUAGGUUACAGGAAAUUGAUCGUGUAAACUGAUUCUCAGCUUGUGGUGAACGAGUGGAACUCCGCCGAUGCCGAUCGGUCAGAGAUUGCUACCACUCUGAAUGAAGAGAGUGUUUGUUUCCAGGGACUUAUUGGUUUAGGGACUUAAAAAAGUUUCUAUAAGUCCCAUCUAAACCAAACAGGAGAGACUUAUAGGGACUUAAGUGGGCAUUUGAGACUUAUGAAAUAAGACUCUCAAGGAAGGACUUGUAGGGACUUAUAGUUGUAAUAUGGUCUUUUAGUCCAUGUUAAGUCCCAGGAACCAAACAGAUAUGGACUUUUUAGGGACUUGAGACUUAUAAGUUGGACUAAAAAAAGUCCUAGGACUUAUAAACCAAACAGGGCCGAAGUUCAAGAGCCUUGCGGGAGUUUUAAGGAAUCUUGGCUAGUAUUUACUUCCAAAUAGUCUAAUGAGAGGCGCUUUUUAUGGAUAAACUAUAUCCCUAACUUCCUUCCAGCUUGUGUAAGGCAGGAAUGUAAUCCUGCUUCUUAUUAAUAUAAGAAGCUCUUGAUUUCACACACAAAGAAGUUCAGUGGAAACGCCACAGAAUCUAAGUUCUAAACAUUUAUGGUGAGCAAAAAUGGGUUAUAACAUGAUAAGAGAAAAAAACAAAGCAACCGUAAUCUCACGGUAAGUGUUAUCACGUAUUAACGAGAUUCGGGUUUCACUUGAUUCAUAACAGAGAUCACACUGCCAUAAGGCGCCAACAGAUGUACUCACAAACUAAGAGUUUCACAAACGACACAUGACAGACUUGCACAUAGUAAACUCAAAGGGUGCCAGGAACUCACUGGCCACCACGAAGGCGGAGCACCAAGUGGAGAGUAGACUCCUUCUGAAU